Molecule: ribosomal RNA, 484 nt
Filed under: uncultured bacterium
Lineage: Bacteria
Description: partial 16S ribosomal RNA
Rfam family: Bacterial small subunit ribosomal RNA
Source: RNAcentral
AUUGAACGCUGGCGGCAGGCCUAACACAUGCAAGUCGAGCGGAUGAAGGGAGCUUGCUCCUGGAUUCAGCGGCGGACGGGUGAGUAAUGCCUAGGAAUCUGCCUGGUAGUGGGGGAUAACGUCCGGAAACGGGCGCUAAUACCGCAUACGUCCUGAGGGAGAAAGUGGGGGAUCUUCGGACCUCACGCUAUCAGAGGAGCCUAGGUCGGAUUAGCUAGUUGGUGGGGUAAAGGCCUACCAAGGCGACGAUCCGUAACUGGUCUGAGAGGAUGAUCGGUCACACUGGAACUGAGACAGGGUCCAGACUCCUACGGGAGGCAGCAGUGGGGAAUAUUGGACAAUGGGCGAAAGCCUGAUCCAGCCAUGCCGCGUGUGUGAAGAAGGUCUUCGGAUUGUAAAGCACUUUAAGUUGGGAGGAAGGGCAGUAAGUUAAUACCUUGCUGUUUUGACGUUACCAACAGAAUAAGCACCGGCUAACUUCGUG